AUCUGGGUGCCCCAUGAGAAUUUGUCAAGCUGCUAGCUAAACUUCAUGGAAAGCUGGAGAGGCCUUGGCAUGCCUCAUGAGAGGGAGUGAUGUUUGGAAGGUUGGCUAGGUUGGUGUAGAAAUGCCCAUCAUUUGUGCUCAGCAGAGCUUGGUAAGUAGGUAAGCCAUGAAUGCCCACAGCAGAUUGCUUCCUUCUGGAAGAGGCAAGGGGAGGCAGGAAGGGAAGAAGUGCUAGUGGAUUAGACAAGGAUAGUAAUAAGAUUAUACAGACUUGUCUUGUUGCCUAACACCCCUGCACAAGCCAGGAGAUGUCUGCAAACUGGUCACAUUUUCAGCCCAGUUUCCCCACAGUUUGGUAUAAAUUGCCCUUGCUGCUGGCCUUAUGGGGGCAAUGGCCCUGACCUACCUUUUGGAAGAGCUUUGAGAUCAUGAAACAGGUGAGAAAAGCUGGAUGGCAAGGGACCUCCUUCAGCCCAGCCAGCAGCACUGCAUACUUCAAAUAAGGAAAUUAACAUUGAGUGAUGGUAAAGGAGGGCACAACCUCAGUGCUAAGAUGUGUGAAUACAGACACAAAAAGGGAAAGGCUACACAGGCAAGCUCAGGGGAGAGUUCACUACACAUAGGGAAAUGUCAGGGACAGAGUAGUCCCUACCGAUUUGUGAAAAUUGAGAUGGAAAGUACCUCCAAAAGUUAAAACAGUUAAAACCUUCAUUGCCUGGAAGAAUAAGCUUCUCCUCUGUUCUGCAGAGAGGAAAAGCAACUGCAGGGUUUUCCAGACUUCAUUCCCUCCCUCCUUGUCCCCCGGUGUAGUGGAAGUGGUAGAUAUCUUCUGUGAUGCCUAUCUAAAUACAAGCCCUAGCUGCGAAUAUAAGUCGCAUCUGGCUCCCUGGUGUACUCCAGACACUUAUUUACCAUCUUGGAGAGAUAAGCAUUUAACUGAUUAACCUGUUCAAAAUCUCUGUGCAUAGUCAGCUCCUCCUAAAAGGGGUCAGACACUUAAAAUAGCAGGAACUGGAUGGGGAUGAUGCUCACUGGGUUAAAAUUAUCCUGAUAUCCUAGAUUGUUCCUCUCUUGACUGGGACGCCAAGAGCAAAACCCCUUAGAGCAGUAUGUGCUACAAAAGUCCAGACAAGUCUGCAUGAAGAACAUAAAAGUAGGCUUUUGAGCCUUCCUAAGGGAAUAAGGCUUAUGUUCUCAUGAUUUGUGCAUGUGUUAAACUGUCCUCACAUUCCAAUCCAGUAACUUUGAAACCUGUUGGUCUAUUUCAGUAAGAUUGGGGAAAUGGCAUAAAUUUCAUAGCUGAAGUUCCUGCAGGUUCAGAAUGUACCCAGCUAGAGGAGAGGGACCCUGUAAAUAACCUGAUUUUGGAAAAGGGUACAGUGUACAUGUAGUAAACACCAGAGAGAUCAUGUGGGUAAAAUCCCUUAUAAAUGCUCAGCUGGAAGAAAAGCUUCAGUGAGAGCUCACAACUUCUCAGGAACAUAAAUCCAUAGGGAACCAUAGGAACAUCCAUUCUGCACCUCACAAAACUACUGCUUUUGUUUUAUUAUGAUGUAGAGGGGAGGAAAAAUUAUUUUAUUUAGGAAACACUGUAAAAAACUCCACAGCCUAGUAUCCAGUGGAUUUAAGUGGAUCUGGUGGAUCUAGUGUGUUUAGGAACUGUUAUCCAGUACUCCAUUUGUUGUUGGCAUCCUGUUUGUAAAAGAACUAGCAGAGAGAGUAGUAUGCCACCUGAAACAGGAAGAGGUACUGAAGAGAGCUAGCAAGGAAAGUCAGGGGCCCAGGGCACGUGAUCUACAGGGAAAUGUUGUGGGUCCUGGGGUCCUUCCAUGUGGCACAGAGGAGACUAAGG
Long non-coding RNA from Neopsephotus bourkii (Bourke's parrot), 1852 nucleotides. RefSeq lists it as uncharacterized. Lineage: Eukaryota; Metazoa; Chordata; Aves; Psittaciformes; Psittacidae. The record is from RefSeq and is a predicted model, not a curated record. The transcript has 3 exons.